RNAcentral lists this small RNA (117 nucleotides) under Streptomyces sp. NRRL F-5122. RNAcentral's name for it is "Actinobacteria sRNA Ms_IGR-7". It matches the Rfam family "Actinobacteria sRNA Ms_IGR-7". The record is from Rfam by way of RNAcentral. Lineage: Bacteria; Bacillati; Actinomycetota; Actinomycetes; Kitasatosporales; Streptomycetaceae.
CAGAGGUGCCUUGCCGAUCGUGCGUGGUGGAAGCGUAGGAACUCCUAUCAUCGCAGGUCAGCAGGCACCUCUUCCUAUUUCCCCGUCCACAGACAGCACGUCACACGGUGGAUCAAG